Molecule: ribosomal RNA, 253 nt
Filed under: uncultured bacterium
Lineage: Bacteria
Description: partial 16S ribosomal RNA
Rfam family: Bacterial small subunit ribosomal RNA
Source: RNAcentral
UACGGGGGGGGUAAGCGUUGUUCGGAAUUACUGGGCGUAAAGGGCUCGUAGGUGGCCAACUAAGUCAGACGUGAAAUCCCUCGGCUUAACCGGGGAACUGCGUCUGAUACUGGAUGGCUUGAGUUUGGGAGAGGGAUGCGGAAUUCCAGGUGUAGCGGUGAAAUGCGUAGAUAUCUGGAGGAACACCGGUGGCGAAGGCGGCGUCCUGGACCAACACUGACACUGAGGAGCGAAAGCCAGGGGAGCAAACGGG